AGUCACUCAGUCAGAGCAUUUUCCCCCAGGGCUGGCAGCAACUGAGCAAAGGGUUUUGAAAAUCACCGUUUUGGACUUAGGCAGAAUUUUGGUACUAAUUUGUGGCAUUUGGAAGUUUUCUUAACAUCAGAAGCUAUGGUGUAUCACACAACAAAAUCCAGUUAUCUUGUGUUGCAACUCAUAAAUACUGGACUCUAGAUAGGACUAUGAAAUAAUUUGGCUCUUGAAACACUGUUUUAAUGGAAAAAAAAGAUGAAGAGAUGAAACUUCUAACAUAGUGAAACCUCUCUACAUCUCUUGUUCAGCUUCCCCCUGAUUUGUUUUGGCUCUCAGCCCCACUUCAGAUGUACUCUCCUCAUGAGGAAAGAGCUGUGGAAAGGACAUUCAGAGGUCAUCUAGUCCAAGUUCUCCUCCCCACCCCACUGAGACAGGAGGGCGCAGCAUUACAGCCUGCUACCAUGAAUUUAAAUUUCUACUGGACACCCAGGACUGCAAAGAAUGCAGAGUUUCACAUCACGUGUCCCUGGUUUUGGCUUCAAGUGCAACUUGCUAUUAAUUAAAGAUUCCUGUCAUGAUCCUUAACACAGGGCAAAAAAAAUAUUUUGUCGUAUACUCAGAAGUGAACGGAUAGAAACAGUAAUAAAUAUAGAAAAUACAGAACAUUCAGAAAAAAUAUUACUCUGCUCCCCUAGAAAGGAAACAAACAUACUUCCUUCUGUACUUAUAAGGGCGCAAUAAAGAAAAAAAAUGGCAUUUUAUUUACAAAUAUUUGUGCUUUCUGAGACCAUGGGUGAUUUGUAAAGUAUACAGCUUUCAUGAUGCCUAACACAGUGACACAAGUUUUUCAAAGUACUAAUUUCUGUCAUAGAAAUAAGUCCCCAUUAUGUACAACUUAUGCUGUUUUAAGCUAAUCUCAACCAAGUAACAGACUACAUUUAGAAUUAUUGAUUACAUUUUGGAGAAAGAGAUGCAACUAAAUAUUUUGUUUCUAUAUAUAAUGAAAAGGCAGAAAAGGAGUAUUAUAUAGCCAUGGACAAUGUUGGUUAAAUGGAACAUCAGUGGUUUGGACAGAAGCUAAAUGUGAUUAAUAGACUAAGUUUUGCUUUUAGAGACAAUGACAAUCCUCUCAUCAGGAGAAUUUUAUUUUACUGUAAAUAUAAAUUAAAUAUCCAAAACAAAGAUUUUUAGAAAUUUUGGUUUUCCAAGGUGUCCAUGCAAAUGGAAAAAAAUUAAAAGUAGCAUAAUUCUGCAGUUCCCUAAUGCCCAAAUGCAAAAUUGCUACUCUGACAAUUUUUCUGCUCUAUCUACUAGCUAUAUCAGGUCAGAAACCUCAGGUUCCCUUUUUGAAAAAGGCUUUGCUUAAACUAGCAUUUGCACAUAUAUUUUGAUAUACUUUAAUCUCUAUGUCAGACUGAAAUAUUAUUACAGUUUUUAAGUCUGGGUAUGAAAUUCAAGUACAAGCAAGUAUGCUAUUUUGGAUACAAGAGCAAAAAUAUAUAAAAUCUGGGUGAACAAUUUCUUUCUACAUUUGACUGAGAGUUAAUCAGGUGCCCUUUUCCCCAUUUCAAGAAAUGUAAGCUUGUUGACAAUAGAAGAAUAUUUUCUUUGAGUACUAUACACACAAAUACUUCCUAGAUGAUUGAUCUGUAAUGAUAAUGUUAAUUAAUAUAUUUCCUACAUUUUUAAUUACAAUUUUCUUUUCCUGCACAGUCCCUAUUACUCUGUGGGCUGGUUCUGGCUGGGAUAGAGUUCAUUUUCUCAGCAGAAGGUAGUUAUGGGGCUGUGUUUGGGAUUUGUGCUGGAAACUGUUGAUUACAAAGAGAUGUUUUAGCUACUUAGCAGUUCUUACACAGAGUCAAAGAUUUUUCUGCUCUUCACAUUAUGCCACCAGCAAGGAGGGAUAAUGGAAGGGAACAAGAAGUUGGGAAGGGACACAGUCAGGACAGCUGAUGCCAAAUGACCCCAGGCAUAUUCCAAACCACAUGGCAUCAUUCUCAGUAUAUACAGCUGGGGGAAGAAGAAGGAAGAGGGAAUGUUUCGAGUGGUCACAUUUAUCUUCCCAAGUUGCUGCCACAUGUGAUGGAGCCCUGCUCUCCCUGAGAUGGCUGAACACCUGUCUGCCCAUGGAAAGUGGUGAAUGAAUUCCUUAUUUUGCUUUAUUUGUGUGGCUUUUCCUAUCCCAAUUGAACUGGUUUUGUCUCGAUCCAUGAGUUUUGUCAUUUUUGCUUUUUUGACCCUCUCCCAAUCUUACCACCUGGAAGUGAGCAAGCUUGGUGAGGGGCUUGGUUGACGGCUGGGCUUAAACCAUGACAUCCAGGGAAGUUAUUCAGAGCUACAGAAAGGUUACCUUCUCCCUUCAGGCAGAAAUACCAGGGAGGGAUAAAUUCUUUGUGUCACAGAGCUACCUCACUCCUGGUGCUUCUUUUAGGCCUGAAUAUGCACUAAUAAGAAUAUAGUGAGCACCAAAUGUGGAAUAACAGAGUAAAUAAAUACAUUUUCUACUUUCUUUUCUGAUGAAAACAUAUAGAUAUAUCAUACAUAGUAUAGCAUGUUGCAUUUUGGUGCUUUUUAAAAAGUUAUUUAAAUUUUUGUUAUUUUUUUUUUUAUCUUGAACCUGCUAAAAUAGAAGUAAAAGAAUCCUCCUAUGUAAUUUUGGUUCAUAUUAAAUAAGAAGAAAAGACAGACUUAUUUUUAACAAUCUUCUGAACAUCACCUUUAAGAGCGUUUGGCUUCUGUAUUUUAAACCCUUUUAGUUACUUUUAUGAUGGCCACUGGUGUAUGUACAUCCAGACAAAUAUGUGCUAAUAGAAGCCAUAAAUUCUUGCCUUAAUGUAGACAGGUGGCAGAGCAAACAAAAUACUGUCUUUAUUCCUGCCUGAUAAAUGCCACCAUAAUAUUGCUAUUUAUUCUCAAAGAAGAAAUUUGCUUCCUGUAUGAGUUUUCUUUUCCACUUGUGGGCCACAUCUUGCCUGUGCAAAUCGACAACAAAUUUCAUAAGGAAAAAUUAAAUGAAGAACUGAUAUUUCUCACUUAAAAAAAUUAAAUAAGCUUUAUAAGGCUCUUUUAAAAUGUCCUAUGAAGGAAUAGUUGAUAAUAUAAAUGUAUGUUUCAUUCGUAGUUUAUAGCCAUAUAAUUUCUCGCACUGAGCUGAAGGGUAAUUAAGCUGGGCUCAAGUAAAAACUUUACUAAAGGUCAGACUGUCUGGGCUGGCACUGUUUAGGUCACAAAAUUAUGGGGCCAAGUGAGAAAACAUGUAAUGUAAUGAUGAAGAAAUUUGUAUCAUACAUAUGCCUUUUUAACAUGUACACAUUAAAAAGACAUUGUUGUUUUGGGGCUGUUAGAAAGGUCAUUUGUGUUCCUCUGAAAUGCUUGUUUUACUAGAAAAAAGAUGAUCUAGUAUUAGGUCUGCCAAGUCCUAAUGUUGGAAGUGUAAGUAACUGCUUCAUUUUUUGGAGGGGGCAAUGCAGUUUUUCUUCAAACAAGUCUUGUUUGAAUUCUCCUUUUGUUCCUCCUUUUAAUUUCUUUUUGUUUUGUUUCCCUGUAGUAAUUCUACUGUUACAUAAAUUAAGUAUUUGGAUUUAAUUAUAACUUGUAUUGCUGAAAUGAGCAAGGUGUGUUUUAA
Molecule: non-coding RNA, 3622 nt
Organism: Zonotrichia albicollis (white-throated sparrow)
Lineage: Eukaryota; Metazoa; Chordata; Aves; Passeriformes; Passerellidae
Source: RefSeq, a predicted model, not a curated record